GAUGAACGCUAGCUACAGGCUUAACACAUGCAAGUCGGGGGGCAGCAUGACCUAGCAAUAGGUUGAUGGCGACCGGCGCACGGGUGAGUAACACGUAUCCAACCUGCCGAUUAUUCCGGGAUAGCCUUUCGAAAGAAAGAUUAAUACUGGAUAGCAUAACGAGAAGGCAUCUUCUUGUUAUUAAAGAAUUUCGAUAAUCGAUGGGGAUGCGUUCCAUUAGUUUGUUGGCGGGGUAACGGCCCACCAAGACAUCGAUGGAUAGGGGUUCUGAGAGGAAGGUCCCCCACAUUGGAACUGAGACACGGUCCAAACUCCUACGGGAGGCAGCAGUGAGGAAUAUUGGUCAAUGGACGAGAGUCUGAACCAGCCAAGUAGCGUGAAGGAUGACUGCCCUAUGGGUUGUAAACUUCUUUUAUAUGGGAAUAAAGUGGGCCACGUGUGGCUUUUUGUAUGUACCAUACGAAUAAGGAUCGGCUAACUCCGUG
RNAcentral lists this ribosomal RNA (485 nucleotides) under uncultured bacterium. RNAcentral's name for it is "partial 16S ribosomal RNA". It matches the Rfam family "Bacterial small subunit ribosomal RNA", at positions 28 to 507 of the family's 1533-position model. The record is from RNAcentral.